Molecule: ribosomal RNA, 544 nt
Filed under: Clostridium sp. enrichment culture clone M11C5
Lineage: Bacteria; Bacillati; Bacillota; Clostridia; Eubacteriales; Clostridiaceae
Description: bacterial SSU rRNA
Rfam family: Bacterial small subunit ribosomal RNA
Source: RNAcentral
ACUCCUACGGGAGGCAGCAGUGGGGAAUAUUGCACAAUGGGGGAAACCCUGAUGCAGCAACGCCGCGUGAGUGAUGACGGUCUUCGGAUUGUAAAGCUCUGUCUUCAGGGACGAUAAUGACGGUACCUGAGGAGGAAGCCACGGCUAACUACGUGCCAGCAGCCGCGGUAAUACGUAGGUGGCUAGCGUUGUCCGGAUUUACUGGGCGUAAAGGGAGCGUAGGUGGAUAUUUAAGUGGGAUGUGAAAUACUCGGGCUUAACCUGGGUGCUGCAUUCCAAACCGGAUAUCUAGAGUGCAGGAGAGGAAAGUAGAAUUCCUAGUGUAGCGGUGAAAUGCGUAGAGAUUAGGAAGAAUACCAGCGGCGAAGGCGACUUUCUGGACUGUAACUGACACUAAGGCUCGAAAGCGUGGGGAGCAAACAGGAUUAGAUACCCUGGUAGUCCACGCCGUAAACGGUGAAUACUAGGUGUAGGGGUCGUCAUGACCUCUGCGCCCCCGCUAACGCAUUAAGUCUUCCGCCUGGGCAGUACGGUCGCAAGAUUA